This is a long non-coding RNA of Clupea harengus (Atlantic herring), 510 nucleotides long. NCBI's taxonomy places the organism in Eukaryota, Metazoa, Chordata, Actinopteri, Clupeiformes, Clupeidae. The record is from Ensembl.
GACAGGGGAGGGUGGUGGUGGUGGUGGUGGGGUCUGCAUCACGGUUAAAGACAGAGACAGGGGAGGCUGAAAGGGCGGCGAGGCGGAGACAAUAACAACCGCAGAGGCUGUGACGGGAGACUCAUCAUGAGAUGAUGAAUUCUCCAUAUGAAACCACGUUCUCCUCUUUGCUAAAAGCAAUGACUUAAUGGUUACAAGUGAUCCUGGGUGGAAAAAAAGGGGAGAAAGGAUAGGGAAAAAGGGAGGGGAAAAAUGAGCAAGCCUGCGUCUGGCAACGGGAAGUCAUUUGACACCGUCUUUUACAGAUUUUUUUUACUGCAGUUUGUAAAACAAUACUGUGAGGCACAUAAAACGUUAUUGAAAGCCACAAUGAAAGCUAAUGAGAAGCAGCGGAGCAACUCACAAGCUAAAGGCCUCUUGAGAAAAGUCUCUUAGAACAAAGCAACGCUGGACCACGCACAAUUUACUAUUCAAACUGGGAGGAUUUCAAAUAAGAGACGUGAAUACAUA